RNAcentral lists this ribosomal RNA (794 nucleotides) under Pseudoalteromonas sp. RNAcentral's name for it is "bacterial SSU rRNA". It matches the Rfam family "Bacterial small subunit ribosomal RNA", at positions 88 to 882 of the family's 1533-position model. Lineage: Bacteria; Pseudomonadati; Pseudomonadota; Gammaproteobacteria; Alteromonadales; Pseudoalteromonadaceae. The record is from RNAcentral.
GCGUCGAGCGGCGGACGGGUGAGUAAUGCCUAGGGAAUAUGCCUUAUGUGGGGGACAACCAGUUGGAAACGAUUGCUAAUACCGCAUGAUGUCUACGGACCAAAGUGGGGACCUUCGGGCCUCACGCCAUAAGAUUGCCCAAGUGGGAUUAGCUAGUUGUGAGGUAAUGCUCACCAAGGCGACGAUCCCUAGCUGGUUGAGAGGAUGAUCAGCCACACUGGGACUGAGACACGGCCCAGACUCCUACGGGAGCAGCAGUGGGGAAUAUUGCACAAUGGGCGCAAGCCUGAUGCAGCCAUGCCGCGUGUGUGAAGAAGGCCUUCGGGUUGUAAAGCACUUUCAGUAAGGAGGAAAGGUUAAGUGUUAAUAGCACUUAGCUGUGACGUUACUUACAGAAGAAGCACCGGCUAACUCCGUGCCAGCAGCCGCGGUAAUACGGAGGGUGCGAGCGUUAAUCGGAAUUACUGGGCGUAAAGCGUACGCAGGCGGUUUGUUAAGCGAGAUGUGAAAGCCCCGGGCUCAACCUGGGAACUGCAUUUCGAACUGGCAAACUAGAGUGUGAUAGAGGGUGGUAGAAUUUCAGGUGUAGCGGUGAAAUGCGUAGAGAUCUGAAGGAAUACCGAUGGCGAAGGCAGCCACCUGGGUCAACACUGACGUUCAUGUACGAAAGCGUGGGGAGCAAACAGGAUUAGAUACCCCUGGUAGUCCCACGCCGUAAACGAUGUUACUAGAAGCUGGGGCCUUGGGACGUGUUUUUCAGAAGCUAACGCAUUAAGUAGACCGCCUGGGGAGUA